RNAcentral lists this ribosomal RNA (722 nucleotides) under cyanobacterium enrichment culture clone D_4_D.3.4_T7. RNAcentral describes it as "bacterial SSU rRNA". It matches the Rfam family "Bacterial small subunit ribosomal RNA", at positions 59 to 792 of the family's 1533-position model. The record is from RNAcentral. Lineage: Bacteria; Bacillati; Cyanobacteriota.
AAGUCGAACGGAAAUUAGCUUCGGUUAAUUUUAGUGGCGGACGGGUGAGUAACACGUGAGAAUUCGCCUUUAGGAGGGGGAUAACGGAUGGAAACAUUCGCUAAAACCCCAUAUGCCCCUGGGUGAAACAGAGGAGAUAAGUAAUACUGACUCACCUCUGCCUGAAGAGAAGCUCGCGGCUGAUUAGCUAGUUGGUAGGGUAAAGGCCUACCAAGGCGACGAUCAGUAGCUGGUCUGAGAGGACGAUCAGCCACACUGGAACUGAGACACGGUCCAGGCUCCUACGGGAGGCAGCAGUGAGGAAUUUUCUGCAAUGGGCGAAAGCCUGACAGAGCAAUACCGCGUGAGGGAUGAAGACUUACUGAGUUGUAAACCUCGGUGCCUUAAGGAAGAAGAUCUGACGGUACUUAAGGUGGAAAGCAUCGGCUAACUCCGUGCCAGCAGCCGCGGUAAGACGGGGGAUGCAAGUGUUAUCCGGAUUUACUGGGCGUAAAGCGUCUGCAGGUGGUUUCUUAAGUCUGCUGUUAAAUCUUGAGGCUCAACCUCAAAUCUGCAGUAGAAACUAGGAGACUUGAGUAUAGUAGGGGUAGAGGGAAUUUCCAGUGGAGCGGUGAAAUGCGUAGAUAUUGGAAAGAACACCGAUGGCGAAGGCACUCUACUGGGCUAUUACUGACACUCAGAGACGAAAGCUAGGGGAGCAAAUGGGAUUAGAUACCCCAGUA